AUCUAGUCUAUUGGGGAAUGCCCUUGUUUUCAAUUGGGCUUCAAUUGCUGACGUGGCUCGCUUUCAUUGGUUGAUUGGUGAUCGUUCGGCCCGUGGGAAUUCUCAAUUGAUGGUCGUCCAGCCCGUUUGCCAAUUGGACGUCUGCCUUUUUGUUUGCUUGGACUGGUAAACCGACGGCAGCUUCUCUUCUUUCUUCUUUCUCUGUCUUUCAAAACAUAGCAGCAUCAAUCGAUGUCAAGAGCUUUUCUUUGCUUUUGUCCUCUGGACAAAACUCCAUUUUUUUUAUGAGACCCAGAGGUCUCCCCUCAAUUUCUGGCAUUUGAUUGUACUUGGAAGAGAUUGUAAUCUCAAUUGGAGGGUCCGGAUUUUUCCUUCUGCAGAGUGGUUGCUUAGGAUUUGAUGGACGAUGGGCUCGAGACAGAAAAGGGCUGUAAGGACGGGGAAGGUCAAUAUUUCAUCUCCACUAUCUGAUGUGAAUUUCUAGAAUGCAGAUAUAUGUUCGGAGUAAAAAUGGCCACUUGUGAAAAACAACUGGUGAGUGAAAAUGAAGGAAUAUGAAAACUUGAAGUUGACAUCUCUAAGAAGUAGUUAAAGCUGCAGGAAAUGACCAUACAUUGGGUUUUGUUACUGGUGGGUCUGCUCAUGUGCAAAUGCAACUUAGCACCAAAGAGUGUGAGAGUCUGGGAUUAACUGGUCUGGCUCUCUGCUUAGACUGCAACACCUUUGCUGAGUAUGUCAAGGACCAAGGUUGUACCUUUUUUAUUAUAUGAAUUUUGUUGAUCCUCAGAUAUUUAUGGUUUUUGGUGGAUUUUACUUCUGGGUUUUGAUGGGUUUUUUGAAUUGAUUACUUGCUGGUAAGUACAUGGGUUGUAAAAUGGUAAUAUUUGGGAUUCUUGUUUCUGUACUAUAGCUGAUUGGUUGUCAAAAUUAACGAAUAGUGGGAGAUAGAUGCAAUUCUUAUUGCUUUUAGUUGAUUUAAGGUCUGGGUUUUUUUUUGUUUGGAUUUAUGAAUUGCUUAUUUAUAUGUGAGAUGUCAAUGGUGAUAAUUUGGAAGGAGAACUUGAAAAAGGCUAUGUUUUUAUACAAAUCAGAUCGAGAGACUAUGCUUAUAACAGUAAAUAAGUGUAUUUUGACUUUUGUUGUUUUCACUAUAAUUUUUUGUGAUUAAGUUUUGUCAAAAUAUGGAUGGGUAAAUAGUAUUUUGGAAGAUUUCUCUUUUUUCUUUUUGUGCCUCAGAUAGCUUAAGGAUAAUCGCAUAAAUCGAAAUAAGAUCCUCAUUGGGAUUCUUAAAUUAUCUCAUGCAAUUAGUGGCGUUAAAUUGUAAUCUGUAGAAUUCCAAGUAACUAGCCUGGAUUAUGGUAAUGGUUCAGUUUUGUUGCUCUUGAGGAUUAUGGUAAUUGCACCUGAGCUGACGAUGAUCAAGACAUGCAAGAACAAUAGUUCUACGAUCAUGAUUUCCUAAGUUAUGACUUGUAGUUCAUUAUAUUUGAUGAUUAGGACCAUACGCAUUAAAUUGGAAUAUUCUAUUGGCAUCCUUUAUUGUACCAAAUGAAGUACUAUCAAGACAAAUUCUGAAUGGAAAUAUGUCAUUUUUUGAAACCUAUACCGGAGAACCCUUAUUCUUCAACCCUUUUACAUCCAUUCUGGUGAAUUUGAAAAAUUUAAAUAGCUGAAACUUGUGUAAAAGAAUUCAUCAAUUAUAUAAUGACUUAGAUUUGUUAAAGAAUUUUGGAUUGUAAGAUUACAAUAAACUUUUUGAACAUUCUGCAAUAAUUUACUUAAGAGGAAGAAAAUUGCUCAUGUCAUCAAGAAAUCCUAGAUGUUUGACAAGAUCUGCAUUUAACAUAUCCAGUUUAGAUGGCAACUUAUAUAGAUUUCUGUAUAAUAUUGGAAUGAUCUUUUUGAGCAUUCCGCAAAUAAUAUACUCAAGUAGAAUAUGAUAAUCUGGAAAACCCGAUGUUUGAAAAGACUCCGGAUGCAGUUUAGAUUUGUCAGUGCCUCUCAGAAAUCUGCCCCUUGGCUUUACCUUAGGCUUAGAGAUGGCUUGCUGGAUUGGUCUAUUUUUAUCUAUUGAUUUUCAUUGUGAAUUUUUGUGUCCAAAGCUUGGUUUUGACUUUCUUGGUUUUGCAUCUGCAUCACCACAUGAAGCUGCAGCCGGGGAAAACUUCAUUGACAGAGUUUUCAUUAUGGGUCUAUAGAGACUGCAUUUUGGAAAUCUCUUUUGUAUGUGGAUAGGAUUAUAUGUUAUUUUAAAGUUUCUUUUAUGCAAAAAAAAAAGGAAAAAGAAAAAGAAAAAAAGAUGUUAAAUUUGUUGUAUGUUGUUGACGUAAAACAUAUCUUGCAUCUGCAAUAUUUUCAUUGUGUAAUUAUUUGAUUUGGUUUUUCAAAACUCUUUCAUUGUCGUAAUAAGAUUUUAGACACGAGAUAAUGGCUUGUUUCUCUUAUCAGUUAUAUGUAGAUCUUUAGUCCAUAUUAUGUUGAAUCCUGUAUCUCUUGCUAUUAUGUAGUCAUCUUUAUCGUGUUGAAUCCUAUUUCUCUUGCUAUUAUGUGGUCGUUUCUAUAUUUUACAAUUAAAUAGGCUUCUUAUCCGACAUAUUUGAGUAUUGCUCUCAAAAAGUUGAGCUUCCUCUUGAAUUUGUUCAUGAGUGGCACAUUUUUUAUGCACAUCAAAUCAUGGCAAAUACAGUUAGUCGAUGCAAGAUGACGUUACAUGGUAUAUAUUACUUUGAAAUUUAUGACAUUGCCAAUCCUAUUCAAUUAGUAGGUAAAGCAAAAAAUGACUUUUCGUCACUUAGUCACUAAGUUAAAAUUAUGGCUUAUUUUCGCUGCUUAAUAAAAUUACAAAAACCUAAUCCUAAAGAUUUUGGUGCACCUUUAUAUAACUUUUCAUGCUUAUUAUCUAAAUUUGAAUAAUUGGACAUUUUUGGGCAAGUCUAAAAGUUACACUGCGCAUCGCGCGGUGUUAUCCUCCUAGUCUCAACAUAACAUACAAUGAACCAAAGAGUACACCAAAGAGGGUUACUGUUCACUUUUCGUCGUCAUCACGUGCUGCUCACGUGAGUUAUCUAAAUUGGUUCUUCUCGGUGCUCCAACAUCGCCCAUGGAUUUCUGAUGGGAUCAGAGGCUCAUGUGAUUUUCUUUCUUCUUUCGUCUCUCGCUGCUGCGAUGUCUUGAGCUACCCGAAGAACCUUGCCUAAAAUGAUGAUUGGCCCGAUUUACCAUCUUUAUCUGCUGGAUAUUGGCAAUGAAUGCUGCUCUAAAUUUCAACAUAACAUAUUUUCGCUUCCUACCGGCUCGGAGAUCUUCACCCUUUCUUCACCUUGGUUUUCAGAUUGGUUUCUCUUUCUAGGGUUUUCACAUUUUUUUUCUGUCUAGCUUCUCUUUUCUCCCCAUCCUUUCCUUGCAGGCUCUAAUUGUGGCUUCCUUUCUUGCGUACUUCCAUCUUCUACCCUAAAACCUCAACCCUUCUUAUUGUGAUAUCAUUAUGUGAUGAUAUUAUUAUUCGAUUUUGGGGGUGUUCAUAUGUGAUUUUUGGGGGUUGUUCUUUGUUUUUCAUUUCCUAUUCUUUUGGUUUUGGGUGUUUGUGUCUUUUUAUUUCCUUGAUUUUUCAUGUAUCUGCUUUUCCACUUUUAGUAGGUUUCCCUAUAUUUGGAUUUGGCCAUUGCUCUAUCUACAUGAAACUUAGGCGUAUGGAAUUAUUAUGUGAUUUUUAGGGAUUGUUUCUUGUUUUUCCAUUUCCUUUUCUUUUGCUUCUGGAUGUUUGCUUGUAUCUUUUUACUUGCUUUCGUCUUUUCUUUAUUUUGUCCUGGUUACUAUCAGUUUGCUUCAAGUAGAAUGGGUUCUCAGAGCUGCACCGCCUCCGUAGCUGACCACACACAAGGAGAAAUAAUUGCAGGAACAAAACAACUUCUUGUCAAAGCAGGCAAAUGGACCCUUAGGCAAAGUGGAUGGAGGAGAUGGUGGUGAUGCGAACUUGUUCAUACCAUCUUGGCUGGUUUAUCUCAUGAGUAAAUAAUGACUAAGGAGGGGAAACUUCUUUUUGCUUUCAAGCCAGAAAAGUUACUUGUCAAAAUAAUUAUGUUUUUAAUUUUUUUUUAUUCAGUGCCAAACAUGCCUAUCUUAAUGAGGUAGGUAUUAUGUGCAUGAUACUAUGUAUUUCAUGUUUGCGAUCGUUGAUAAGAAAAUACUUGACACUUUCAUAUAGUACUUUAAUACCAAAAGAAAAAGAAAGUGUCUUAUGUGAGUUCUGUUUUUGGCUGGUGUGUAAGUCUUAUUUCAAGGCCAACAUAUGAGGCUGUUUAUUUGUAUGUUUCAUUCGAAAGCUUACUUCUGCAUUUUGGUUGAUGGCCUUGGAGUAAAGCAAAUACAUGGAUUUCUUUCUGAAGACUUUUAUUCAAAGAAAAACUAGGAGCAGUGAGUUCUUGCUAUGUAUGUGUGUUCGUUAUUUACUUAAAGCAUUUGGAUUAAUAGUGAGUAUUUUACACAUUGAAUUCAGAACUCCCAUGUAACAUUUUUAUGUCAAUUUUAGUUCUGGUGCUAUGUCAACCUUGAUUUGAUAUGUGAAGCCCAUGCCCAGACCUAUGUAAUGACCAAAGUCAUGAAAUUGAUGCAAAAUAGGUAAAAAGGGGAACUAAAUGAGUUGAAGAGAUGUGAGAGUUUGGUCUAUAAUGGAUUGGAAGAAGUAUAAGGAGGCAAGUGAAAGGAACAGGGGUUAUUGGCUUGAGGAUGCAGUGGAAAUCUCAUGUAGUAAGAGCUUUAGUUAUUAGUAUAGAUUCUAUUUAAUAGGAACUUCGGUCGGUUAUUGAAAUUAAUGACCUUACAAGGAUAAAAUGGUAUCCUUUGCAAACUUAUCUUAACAGAUUUAUAAAUAUGUCUUCACAGUUUUUCGUCUCAAUUAUGUGCUUGCCUUUUUUUUUUAUGGGUUAAAAAGAACCAUUCCCGAGAGGGGGAAAGAAUGAUCGAUGCCUUGUAUAUUUUGCAAAGAAAGACACUGGGACUUGCAUUUUGAUAUGUCAUAUGAAUGAUUUAGCAGUCAUUUAUUGUGCUGCUUCUUGUUGUUUCAUUUUGCUUACAUGAGGUUUGCCCUAUGCAACUACCAUGAUAAUCCUGCAGAGCUGUCUAAUGAGUUAUCCAGGUCCAUUUGUGCUCCUUCCAUCCAUUGCUAAUAUUUGCCAUUCAUUUAACAGGUUAGCAAAUUUGAUAUAUAGUUAAUCUUUUUCUACAAUUUCUUGGCUAUUUGGACAAUCUGUUCUGCUUCUUUUCUUUUUAUUUGAAGAAUUUAUUUUUCAGUAAUUUUAUUACUGUAUGCUGUUUGGAUUUUAUUUUGUAAUUUUGGCUAUCAAAAAUAGUUUUUAAGUAGUAAUUGUUUUUGCUUCUUUUGCUCAAGCAUCAUUACACUGAGAGGGUUAAGCAUCGUUUGUUAUUUUCUAUAAGGUUCUGAUGGUAGCUUACUUGGAUCUAUUUGUAAUUGUUUUUGAAUUUCUUUAUGUUGCAUUCUGUCCUGGGGAAUUCAUACACUAUAUAUACCUGUCCUAGAAGAUUAUUUCUUGAAUUUUCGUCUUCCUCUAUUUUGCAACAUAAUUACUUUAUAUUCUUAUGUCUUGUAGAAAAUUCCGGAUCACACUGAUUAAAAAUUAGUUGAGCAUCGGACUCCGGUCAUUGUUCUUACAAGCGGAACUAGAGUUUACAGUAUUGGAAACAGGAAAAGAUAGAUUUCAUUGGAAAUGUAGCGACUUUGUUGCAGAUCAUAACCUCCAAGAAGGAGACGUUCUACUAUUUCUUCCUGAAUCUCACACUUUGUUUGCUUUGUUAAUCUUUGAAACCAAUGGAGUAGAAAUUAUUUACCCCUGGCAUCACACGUUCAUGAUUUAAUUAAAUAUUAUGUUCGUAGAUUCUGCAUUAUCAAUGAAA
Long non-coding RNA from Coffea eugenioides, 5910 nucleotides. RefSeq lists it as uncharacterized. The transcript is spliced from 7 exons. Lineage: Eukaryota; Viridiplantae; Streptophyta; Magnoliopsida; Gentianales; Rubiaceae. The record is from RefSeq and is a predicted model, not a curated record.